This 69-nucleotide transfer RNA is filed under the name Rattus norvegicus (Norway rat). It matches the Rfam family "tRNA". Rfam says of the family: Transfer RNA (tRNA) molecules are approximately 80 nucleotides in length. Their secondary structure includes four short double-helical elements and three loops (D, anti-codon, and T loops). Further hydrogen bonds mediate the characteristic L-shaped molecular structure. tRNAs have two regions of fundamental functional importance: the anti-codon, which is responsible for specific mRNA codon recognition, and the 3' end, to which the tRNAs corresponding amino acid is attached (by aminoacyl-tRNA synthetases). tRNAs cope with the degeneracy of the genetic code in two manners: having more than one tRNA (with a specific anti-codon) for a particular amino acid; and 'wobble' base-pairing, i.e. permitting non-standard base-pairing at the 3rd anti-codon position. The record is from Rfam by way of RNAcentral. Lineage: Eukaryota; Metazoa; Chordata; Mammalia; Rodentia; Muridae.
GGGUAUUUAGCUCAGUGGUAGAGCACUUGCCUAGCAAGCACAAGGCCCUGGGUUCGGUCCCCAGCUCCA